This 1816-nucleotide ribosomal RNA is filed under the name Clostridium sp. Its description in RNAcentral is "partial 23S ribosomal RNA". It matches the Rfam family "Bacterial large subunit ribosomal RNA", at positions 398 to 2007 of the family's 2925-position model. The record is from RNAcentral. Lineage: Bacteria; Bacillati; Bacillota; Clostridia; Eubacteriales; Clostridiaceae.
AAACGAGAGGGAAAGUAUCACCGGGCACGAGUAACCCGGUGUGAAGAUAGGGGGCCCAUCCCCUAAGGCUAAAUACUAACAUGUGACCGAUAGUGAACAAGUACCGUGAGGGAAAGGUGAAAAGAACCCCGAAAGGGGAGUGAAAUAGAACCUGAAACCUAGUGCCUACAAGCAGACAGAGCGUGAGCGAACGUGAUGUCGUACCUUUUGUAGAAUGGGCCAGCGAGUUAUUCUAAAUUGCAAGGUUAAUGAUUUAAGAUCAGAAGCCGUAGUGAAAGCGAGUCUUAAUAGGGCGAAAGUAAGUUAGAAUAGACCCGAAACCGGGUGAUCUAUCCAUGGUCAGAGUGAAGUUGAAGUAAAAUUCAAUGGAGGCUCGAACCGGGUGCGGUUUAAAACGCAUCGGAUGAACUGUGGAUAGGGGCGAAAAACCAAACGAACCCGGAGAUAGCUGGUUCUCCUCGAAAUAGCUUUAGGGCUAGCCUCUGACCUAAGAUUUUAGGAGGUAGAGCACUGAAUGGUCUAGGGCGGAUUACCGUACCAAAACCUAUCAAACUCCGAAUGCCAAAAAAUCAAGUCAGGGAGUCAGACUUAGGGGGAUAAGCUUCUAAGUCGAAAGGGAAACAGCCCAGACCGACAGCUAAGGUCCCAAAAUUUGAAUUAAGUGGAAAAGGAUGUGAAUCUACUAAGACAACCAGGACGUUGGCUUAGAAGCAGCCAUGCAUUUAAAGAAUGCGUAAUAGCUCACUGGUCAAGUGGGUUUGCGCCGAAAAUGAACGGGGCUCAAAUUCAAUACCGAAGCUUCGGAUUAAUAGAGGGAUUAAGUUUACAAAUGAGACUAGGAAAUAUUUAACAAAAACAGAAGAGAUUAAAAAGAAAAACAAAUUUCAGACGCAGACAUAAAAGAUAGGAUAUUAAAAAAGAAAAAUAUUCAAAAAACACAAGUCUAAAGUCAAAAGUGAGUAACAUAAGAAAUUAUGAACUAACAAUCACUGGUUAAGAGUUAAAAACUAGGACUCAUAGCUAAACUUAAUACCUCUAUUAGUGGUAGAGGAGCAUUGUAUUAGAGACGAAGCCAAGGCGAAAGCAAAAGUGGAUCUAAUACAAGAGAGAAUGCUGGCAUGAGUAGCGAGAAGGGAUGUGAGAAUCAUCCCCGUCGAAACCCUAAGGACUCCUGAGCAAGGCUCGUCCCCUCAGGGAAAGUCGGGACCUAAGCCAAGGCCGAAAGGCGUAGGCGAUGGAUAACAGGUUUAUAUUCCUGUACCGCUUGAAGUCGUUAAGAGAGAAGUGAUGACGCAAAAGGAUAAGCAAAGCCAUCAGAUGGAAAAGAUGGUCUAAAGCCGUAGGAAGAAAAGUAGGCAAAUCCGCUUUUCACAAAUUCUAAAAGCCGAUAGGUAUCGAAAACAUAAGUAGAGAAGUUGCCGAUUCCAAGUUGCCAAGAAAAGUCACUAUCCAGACCAAAGCGCCCGUACCAAAACCGACACAGGUAGGGAGGUAGAGAAUACCAAGACGCGCGGAAGAACCUUUGUUAAGGAACUCGGCAAAAUGUCCCCGUAACUUCGGGAGAAGGGGAGCCUGAGCAAUCAGGCCACAGAAACCAGGCCCAAGCGACUGUUUACCAAAAACACAAGUUUCUGCAAAAUCGCAAGAUGAAGUAUAGGAGCUGACACCUGCCCGGUGCUGGAAGGUUAAGGGGAAGGCUUAGAGCAAUCGAAGGCUAGAACUUAAGCCCCAGUAAACGGCGGCCGUAACUAUAACGGUCCUAAGGUAGCGAAAUUCCUUGUCGGGUAAGUUCCGACCCGCACGAAAGGUGUAACGA